UGUUGCAGAUGAAGUGAACUGGCUGUUGUAUUUCCUGAGUGGAGCUUUGGGAUUCACCAUCAGCCUUUUGCUGGCUGUGUUACUGUACAAGAUAAACAAGAGAAGAUGCUGGAGAUGUUCAGAGUCUCAUACACAACCAUCAUCUCCCUCCACAACAAAUGCAGAGGGCAACCAACAUGCAGAUGAGCUCCAUUACGCUGCAGUAAAUGUGAACGUGGCCAGCAGAUCAAGACGACAGAGGGACAACACAAACGAUGGAUGUGUGUACUCAAGUGUUAAACUGUAGAAUUUUGUUUUCUCGAAAGGUCUAUGUUUGAGAUGAGGGAUUUCUCAGUCUGUCUUUAGAGGUGGAGCAUGAUUCUUGUCUGUAUUGCUUUUUUAUCCUUUUUCUUAUUAUAAAUGUGGCCUUUUUUGUGAUUAAUGAUAAAAAACAACUUGUGAUGUAAUUACACUUUUAUGGUUAGACAAUGUGUGUGGGGGGGGGCAAUGUUUGGACAGUUGCUGUUGGUCUUUGAUUGAAUGACACUUUGACGAUGACAUAUGGAAAACAAUGAUUCAAGUUCUUGUAAUGAAAGUCCAAUGAAGGGUAUUACUCAUAUAGCAGGGACCUAAAUAUGUUGACACCCUCACAUUAUGGAAACAAAACAUGAGUCCAGAGGAUUUAAAUCAUUAAAUUUCGUAUGUUUUAAGCUUCGGUUUAGGUCAGGGUAAAGUUUGGAGUUAAAGACAAGACACUGUAACGUCCUCUGAAAUCAUGGAGACAUUUGGCAUAACACAUCCAACACUUCAAAAUUGAAUUUGACAUUUUAGGUAGAAUAAGUUGUCCUCUAUUUUUUUUGUAUUUUAUUUAGAUACUGAUUCUAUAGACACGAGGGAACGUAUU
This is a long non-coding RNA of Pleuronectes platessa (European plaice), 883 nucleotides long. RefSeq lists it as uncharacterized. The transcript is spliced from 3 exons. NCBI's taxonomy places the organism in Eukaryota, Metazoa, Chordata, Actinopteri, Pleuronectiformes, Pleuronectidae. The record is from RefSeq and is a predicted model, not a curated record.